UACGGAGGGUGCAAGCGUUAUCCGGAUUCACUGGGUUUAAAGGGUGCGUAGGUGGGUUGGUAAGUCAGGUGUGAAAUCCCCGGGCUUAACCUGGGAAUUGCGCUUGAAACUAGGCUGCUUAAGUGUGGCAGAGGGGGGUGGAAUUCCACGUGUAGCAGUGAAAUGCGUAGAGAUGUGGAGGAACACCGAUGGCGAAGGCAGCCUCCUGGGCCAGCACUGACGCUCAUGCACGAAAGCGUGGGGAGCAAACAGG
This 253-nucleotide ribosomal RNA is filed under the name uncultured bacterium. Its description in RNAcentral is "partial 16S ribosomal RNA". It matches the Rfam family "Bacterial small subunit ribosomal RNA", at positions 524 to 776 of the family's 1533-position model. The record is from RNAcentral.